UUCGUUAACCACUGAACCACUACGGGAACUCCAAAAGAAAUUAGUUCUUAAUCUGUCACAUGUAUCUUCUCAUUGGUUGGUGGGGAAGUCAUUUACAGCGCAUUACAGUGCAAAUGGCUUAAAAUGUUCUAUAUGAUUUUUCUUAACUCUCUUCAUUUAUAAUUUCUCAGGGAGUUCCAUAAUGUUUACUCUAGGUCCAGCAUAUCUACCUCCGUCCUCUCAUAGUUGGUACAAGCAGGACAUAUAAUAUGUAAAGGUAAAAGGUGCUAGUUCUGGAAUUAAACUUUGUGUUUAAAUCUCAGCUAUGACUUUACUUUUUCUGUGUGAUCUUGGAAAAGGUGCUUAAUCUCCCUAUGCCUAGCUUCUGAAUCUAUAACAUAGAGCGCUAAAUAUCUCUCUUAGACAAUUACUGAAUUAAUGAUAUAUACAAGGCACUGGAGUCAGUGUCUGGCAUACAGUAUACCCUUACGAAGAAUUACCUAUUCUUACCAUUAUCAUUAUCAUCAAAUCAUCAUCACCCAUUGAACAAAUUUAUUUAUUUUGCUUACUGUUUUUCUCAUGGAAAUAUAAGCUACAUGAAGGUAAGGGUUUUGUCCAUUUUGUUCACGGCUGUAUCCAAAAACAGUGCCUCAUUAGUAAAUGUUCAUCAUUCAUAGAAAAAUGUAUGUACAUUAAUCACUGUCUAUCCUACUAACAUUUACAUUUUUAAGCACUAACUAUUUUGGGUAAUCUUAUUUUUUAAGUGACAGCAAUCAGAGCUUAAAAUUUUGAGCUGAAUAGAACCAUACUCAUACAUUUACUGUUCUAAUCUCUUGGCUUAGUGUGAUUAAGACAACUGUGGUCAGGAAAGUAUAUUCAAUUUUCUUCCACUUUUCAUCCCAUAUAGCGAAUACACAGAAUACAUCUCUCUUCUGCACUUUGAAAUAUAGCAUACAACUGAAUAUAAAAAAACUAGGAAAAAUGGUAAAGAGUCCAACUUACACUUUUAUGUUGUGAGAGGCCUGGUCCAUGUAUUUUUAUUCUGAUAAAUAUGUUUUUACAUACAGCCAAACUUAAAAAAAAGUAUUAUUAAUAGAAGAACCAUGAACGGGAAGAUUCUGAGUUACACUACAGAAUAAAAUUUCCACGGAAAUACCAAGUAGGUAUUAUCAGGUAGGUGGCCAGUUUAUUAGACAAACUGUUAAUGGUAUUAAUAACACCAUGGCAAUUAAGUAGGGGUGUCCUCAAAAGGCAACUGUGUGUGUGUUCAGUGGCCUUGUAAAUUGGCUACAUUUCUUUUCUAAAUUUAGAAAAAAUAUACAAUGAAAAAAUGUGGAUAAAAAUGUAUGCAUAAGAAAUAGUCUGAAAAGAAAUACCAAGGUAAUAUUCUUUUUCAUAACAAAAGUUUCCAAAAUUCAGCAAUAAAUGUGUGUGUAUAUAUAUAUAUGUUUUUUUACUUUUUCUUAUUUUAUGUGCUGUUUUUAAUAAAAACACUUCAGUUUGUCAGGCAGGAAUCAUCUGACCCCAUAGGUUACGUAUUUUUCAUUGUACUGUUCUAAAUCUUGAGGAGUAAAUAUUAAUAUUUUACAAGAAGAAAAUAGUCAUAAAUAUGAUAAAAUAAAAUUAAAUAUAUUAACAUUAGAUGGUGAAAGUUAUAAAAAUUUAAAGGUUUUUUUGUUUUUUUUGUCUUUUGUCUUUUUAGGGCCACACCUGCAGCAUAUGGAGAUUCCCAGGCUAGGGGUCUAAUCGGAGCUGUAGGCACAGCCACAGCAACACAAGAUCCAAGCCACGUGUCUGUGACCUACACCACAGCUCAUGGCAACACCGGAUCCUUAAUCCACUGAGCAAGGUCAGAGACAGAACCCUAAACCUCAUGGUUCCUAGUUGGAUUCGUUUUUGUUGUGCCACGAUGAGAACUUCAAAAUUCAAAGGUUUUGUUGGCAUGUGGAAUUAAAAUGAAAGUUUGAGGGAUAUAGGAGUUUCCUGGGGGCUCAAUGGGUUAAGGAUCUGGCAUUGUCACUGCUAUGACGGCGAAGUUUCAAUCACUGGCCCAGGAACUUCUGCAUGUCGAGGGCAUGGCCAAAAGAAGUUCUAGGGAUCUAUAUUAUUUCUUGGUAAGAUAUGAAUUAUGGAGGUGGAUAAUCUUAUUUCCUUUUAAAAAAAAAGUUAGCCCUUUUGAUAUUAUAGUAAGAGCUAAAUUCUAAGUAGAAUUCCUUUAAUAAUGUGGCUGUUAUCCAAGACUCUAACUUUUGAAGGCAACCAGGUUAGGAAGGUGUUAGUUUGAACUUUUAAUAACUUUGAUUUUAAUUUUUAGGAGGCUUGACACUUCUAAUCAGAGGCUUGUGCUUCUGAUUAACCUCCUUUAGUCUUGCUCUGACAACAGGUUUGACUGAAGUUGUGUUUCCACGUGAAACAUUCUUUAUUUUUUCUGCCAUAAGAGCCAAUUUUAUAACCAAUUUGCUCUACUCAGUUCCAUAAUACUACCCAUUCAUUCAAAUAGUUUUUGACCACCUGUAUUCCUGAGAAUAAAACGGUGCUCUUGUGUCUCGUCUAGACAGACAGUAACCACAUUGCGAUAAGUAUUAAGACCAAAGUAAAACAGGGUAGAGGGAUCUGUUGAAUGUGACAGAGGGGCUAGAGGGGUUACAGUAAAAUAGAGUAGUCAGGAAAGGCCCCCAAAGUGAUGACAGACCAGCUGGGACCAGAAUGAAGAGGAACCAUUCAAAGAUCUUGGGCUUAGGGGAGAAGGAGAUACAUUCUAGGCUGUAGGAAUAACUACUGCAAAGACCCCAAGUCAAGAAUGAGGCUGGAAUAUCCGAGGAACUAAAAGGCCAGCAUGGCUGCAGCACAAUGAGUAAAGCAAUAGUGGAAAUAGAUGACAUGACCCUCCAGUCUUGCAAACAUAUCCUGUUUACAUUGUUAGCAUCUCAAGAACCUGUCUCCUCCAUUUCAUCUUCACAGUCACUUUAAUUGUGGCCCUAAUAACCUGCAGCUUAUAUUUUUACAAAAGCAUUUAGUUGUUCACUGCCUGAAAUGUAAUUUCUACCUCGUUUUUGUUGUUGUUUGUUUGUUUGGUUUGGCGGGGGGGGGGGUAGAUCUCUUCUUCCUUUAAAACUCAAUCCAAUCAUUAUCUCCCUGACCCAUCCUUCCUGAGUUGGGUGCCCCCUUCGCAUACCUCUUUUCAACAUUUCCACACCAAGAACUCAAACUGUCAUUGUUUACCUACUUCCCAUUUGUAUGUGAGCUCCUCCAGAAUGCAGAAGAGUAUUUUACCUUUGCACUCAUAGGUCCUGGCUAGGUAUCCCCAAGAGUGUUUGUCAAAUACAUUUUAAAAACCACUAAACCUACUGUUAGCUGGUCACUGGCCUAGACUUACUCAGAAAUGCUGCAGGGGGGGGGGGGCAACAUUUCAAGUGCUUUCAGCUCAUGGCCAAAUUUGACAAACACUAUCUAAAGAAGUUUGAAAUGUAACUGUUGUGAUUUUCCGAUACUUCCCUGUAUAACCCUUUUAUCUCUAUUAGCAGACUGGAACCAUUCAGGCAUCACACUCUAAGUAGUGGACAGAGAAAGCUGAGUGUCCUAAUGAGAUCGGUACUCCUUGACUUAGCCUCUCAUUAUCAGGGGAAGGUGUGAGGAUGUCCUUGAGGCUCUCACUACAAGGCCCUACACCCCUCACACUGCGGAAUUUCAUCAGAAACCACAUAACUCUUCAGAUGGGCCUGUCUGGGUAGAGAGGCUGAUGCCAAGAACAACUCUGUGGUAAAAAGAGAGCUACUGCUUAGUUAAGAGACGUCUUCAUCAGGGUCCUAUGUGAAUGAACAGAGAAAUAGCCAGGUACCCUAAGAAUAAAUUGCUAUGGGAGUUCCCACUGUGGCUCAGUGGUAACGAACCCCUAGCCUGGGAACUUCCAUAUGCUGUGGGUGCGGUCCUAAAAAAAAAUACAAAAGAAUAAAUCACUAUAAUGAAGCGGAUAAGGAGAUUAAAAAAAGCACAGUGGGUGAGAGCCCAGGCUUUGGAAACAGACAUCUAUGUUUAAAUCCUUGUUCUACCACUUUUUAUUAUGAGGAGGGAACAAAUUUAAUUAUCUGAGCUUCUGUUUUCUCUUCAGUAAUAGCCACCUCCUAGUGUUAUUGUAAAGAUUAAAUGCCUAUUACAGUGCCCAGUACAAAGUACAUUCUCAGAAAGUGGUCAUUAUUUUACUGGUAUGAUGAUGAUGACAAUCCAGUGUUUUUCUAGUUCAGAUCCGUACCUUUGCUAAUUUUAGGAGGACUCUCUGGAACCAGGGGAGCCAUCUCCAGACCACGUUUCACUAGUGACUAACCCUAAUACUCCUUUGCUAAUACAGAUAAAAAGAUAAGAGUUUGCAGUAGAAACAAAGGAGCAUAAUAUAUUCAGACAAGUUCCUGUUCAUUAACUGAUAAUAUAAUUUAACAAUGAUAAUAUAGCUUUGGUAGAAUGGAUUUGUAUAUAUACAAUAUUUGCAUAAAGUAUAAGAUUUUAAUAAAAUUUUAUGUCAAAUGUUUCAUUAUAUUUUUUGUUAUGUUAAAUUGUUAGAGUAGUCAGACUUAAUACAUAUCCUUUUAAGAAUCAAAAACGUGGAACCUGAAAAUACUUCCUUUUGGAUAACUCCUCCAAAUAUCUACAUAGUAUACAACAGUGCUGCUCAGAGUGGGUCCGUGACUGCUAGGGGUUCCCAGGACCCUUUCCAAAAAAAUCACUAAGGGCAAAACCAUUUUUAUUGUGAUAUUAAGACAUCACAUGCCUUUUUACUAUGUUGAUAAUUGCGCUGAUGGCACAAAAGUAACAAUAGAUGAAUUAGACUCCUAGCAUCUCAGCAAAUGAUCAAAGCAGUGGCACCAAACUGUACUAGUUAUUACAUUCUUUAUCGCCACAUGUUAAAGAGGAUUUUUCUCUUACUUUAAAAUGUUCUUGGGAGUUCCCAUCGUGGCUCACUGGUUAACGAACCUGAGCAGUAACCAUGAGGUUGCUGGUUCGAUACCUGGCCUUGCUCAGUGGGUUGAGGAUCUGGCGUUGCCAUUGGCUGUGGUGUAGGUUACUGUUGUGGCCUGGAUAUGAUCCGAUCCCUGGCCUGGGCACUUCUACAUGCCAUGGGUGUGGCAAAAAAAAAAAAAAAAAAA
RNAcentral lists this long non-coding RNA (5117 nucleotides) under Sus scrofa (pig). RNAcentral's name for it is "lncRNA (ENSSSCG00030024914.1)". Lineage: Eukaryota; Metazoa; Chordata; Mammalia; Artiodactyla; Suidae. The record is from RNAcentral.